RNAcentral lists this ribosomal RNA (254 nucleotides) under uncultured bacterium. RNAcentral describes it as "partial 16S ribosomal RNA". It matches the Rfam family "Bacterial small subunit ribosomal RNA", at positions 524 to 776 of the family's 1533-position model. The record is from RNAcentral.
UACGGAGGGUGCAAACGUUGCUCGGAAUUAUUGGGCGUAAAGAGCUCGUAGGCGGUCUGUCGCGUCGGUCGUGAAAACUUGGGGCUUAACCCUGAGCUUGCGGUCGAUACGGGCAUGACUGGAGUUCGGCAGGGGAGACUGGAAUUCCUGGUGUAGCGGUGAAAUGCGCAGAUAUCAGGAGGAACACCGGUGGCGAAGGCGGGUCUCUGGGCCGAUACUGACGCUGAGGAGCGAAAGCGUGGGGAGCGAACAGG